UCCGGUUUGUCACCGGCAGUCUCAUUAGAGUGCCCAACUGAAUGUAGCAACUAAUGACAAGGGUUGCGCUCGUUGCGGGACUUAACCCAACAUCUCACGACACGAGCUGACGACAGCCAUGCAGCACCUGUGUUACGGCUCCCUUUCGGGCACGCCUCCCUCUCGAGAGGCUUCCGUACAUGUCAAGGGUAGGUAAGGUGGGGAUGACGUAACGGCAUUAGCCA
Molecule: unclassified non-coding RNA, 224 nt
Filed under: uncultured Gammaproteobacteria bacterium
Lineage: Bacteria; Pseudomonadati; Pseudomonadota; Gammaproteobacteria
Description: contains 16S-23S intergenic spacer region
Source: RNAcentral